Molecule: long non-coding RNA, 892 nt
Filed under: Hordeum vulgare
Lineage: Eukaryota; Viridiplantae; Streptophyta; Magnoliopsida; Poales; Poaceae
Description: long non-coding RNA (HVUL_LNC015536)
Source: RNAcentral
AUGAACGUUGGGACGUCGUUCUCCGAGGUUGAUGAUGAUGAUGAUGAGGACGACAGGGAAUAGGUUCUAGUAGUUGCACCGUAGUUUUUUAUCUAUCUAUGCGAUGUAUCGUUUUAUCUAUGUAUUGUGAAAUAUCUAUGUAUUGUUUUAUCUAUCUAUCUAUGAAAUAUCUAUGUAUAUCUAUGUAUUGUGCGAGAGCGCGCGCGCUGCAUUUUAGCGCGCCUGCUGGAGCUAGGCGCGCGCGCUGCAUUUUACAGCGGCCGCUGGAGCCAGCGUUGGCCGCCGCGCCAAAAUAGGCGAAUGGUGCGCCACAAACUUAUUUUUAGCGCGCCGCGCGUUGGGCGGCUGUUGGACAUGCUCUUACAACUCACUGCUUUCUUUUCUGCCGGCAAUGUGGUGAGCACCCUUGUCUUGUUUUUUUCCAGUGCUUUCAACUCUUCUAUCAUCGCUUCACGCCACUUCGGAUCUUGCUUUGCAGCAUUCCAAUCCUUUGAAAUUGACACAGUUUAAGGGAGACAACAAAUGCCUUAUAUAAGGGUGGCAAAGCCUUAAUAAGACACAAAAUUGCCAAUAUCAAGAUCAUCACAUGCAUCAUCCUCUGGUAGAGCCUUCCUUGCUACUUCACCCUUUAUUGCCGCUUCACGUGUAGCCUUUCGCAAUCCAAUGGGCAGCCCCACUGUGUCAGAUGAGCUUAUCUUACUGUCUUGCUGCUCCCCUGCACUCUUGCCUCACUGCCUUGCUGCUUCCCCUGCACUCUUGCCUCACCGCCUUGCUGCUCUCCUUGCACGUGUGGUUGCCGUCGAGAGUACACCAGGCUGUUCGUCUGCCAUCGAUCCCGAACAGGAACCCGAAGAGCACCAAUCUUAAGUCUAUCAACAGUUGGCUCAACAUG